Molecule: long non-coding RNA, 1031 nt
Organism: Fundulus heteroclitus (mummichog)
Lineage: Eukaryota; Metazoa; Chordata; Actinopteri; Cyprinodontiformes; Fundulidae
Exons: 2
Source: RefSeq, a predicted model, not a curated record
GUAACGACGGCGUAACGACGGCGUAACGACGGCGUAACGACGGCGUAACGACUCCUCAGUGACCCGCUGAGGCGGCGCUGGAUCCCUGCAGGUGUUUUCACCUGUAGCCGCCAGCAAAGCACCUGGCAGGUUAAUGAUUCUUACACGGUCUGCGGACCCUGGCGGGUCUGAUUAGGGGCGGAGCUUCAGGAAAGUGUUUGGUACUAAAACAGGACGAGUUCCCAGCCUGAGCAGAACCUUCUGUCCUAAAGACUUUACCGUAAAACACUUUUUCUCUCUUUUCUGAGAUUAAACAUUAACAACUUUGUGAUAAAAUGGUCAACAAUUAAAGACUAAAUCCAGAAAACCAUGAGAAACGAUAAGGCCUAAAUAUUUGUACUAAUUCAAGCUUCGUGUUUUUCACUGUAAGAACCGUGAGAACGGUUCCAGAACCUUUCCUGACCCGGUCCGUUUCUCCAGAACCGGCUGUGGUUCCGGUCUGCAGGUCAGAACUUCUCCUGAAGGCUGAAAUAAACUCCCGUGUUCUCCAGAACAGCAGUGUGAGGCGUUCAGGUGUUCCUUCGUCAGUGUUCUUGGGUUUGGGUUCUGCAGCUGAGGAACGUCAGCUUUUCUCACUUUUCUGUCGUGACGUCUGAAUGAGCCUCACACCGACGUUCAGAGCUGAGGGACGCCCCUGAAGGCCAGGUGGACUCACCUGGGCGCACCUGGACACACCUGAGCACACAUGAACACUGCGACCCAACACCCAGGGGACUUUGGCCCCGCCUCCACCCACAGGUGCUGCCUCUGGCUCCGCCUCCACCCACAGGUGCUGCCUCUGGCUCCGCCUCCACCCACAGGUGCUGCCUCUGGCUCCGCCUCCACCCACAGGUGCUGCCUCUGGCCUGGCGACCUCAGCAGGUGCUGCAGGUGUGUUCUGUUCCACUUCCUGUUGGGGAGAAAUCUCUGACUGUUAGAACUCUAACGAUGCUUUUAUUUUCUCAGUUUGGAAACGAUGUAUAUUUUAAAACAAAUAAAAUAUUUUAAACGUA